AGAGUUUGAUCCUGGCUCAGAACGAACGCUGGCGGCGUGCUUAACACAUGCAAGUCGAGUGCGCGUCUGUAGCAAUACAGAUGGCGCACGGCGCACGGGUGCGUAACACGUGGGCAAUCUGCCCUUCGAUGGGGAAUAUCUUCGGGAAACCGAAGCGAAUUCCGCAUAACAUUCCUUGGACUGCGGUUCGAGGACUCAAAGCCGUAAGGCGUCGAAGGAGGAGCCCGCGCACGAUUAGCUAGUUGGUAGGGUAACGGCCUACCAAGGCUUUGAUCGUUAGCUGGUCUGAGAGGAUGGCCAGCCACACUGGAACUGAGACACGGUCCAGACUCCUACGGGAGGCAGCAGUGGGGAAUCUUGCACAAUGGGCGAAAGCCUGAUGCAGCGACGCCGCGUGGGGGAUGAAGCAUCUCGGUGUGUAAACCCCUUUCGACCCGGAAGAAUGCCUCGCAAGAGGACUGACGGUACGGGUAUAAGAAGCCCCGGCUAACUACGUGCCAGCAGCCGCGGUAAGACGUAGGGGGCCAGCGUUGUUCGGAAUUACUGGGUGUAAAGGGUUCGUAGGCGGUGUGGCAAGUUGGGAGUGAAAUCUCUGGGCUCAACCCAGAGGCUGCUUCCAAAACUGCUGUGCUUGAGUGUGGGAGAGGCGCGUGGAAUUGCAGGUGUAGCGGUGAAAUGCGUAGAUAUCUGCAGGAACACCCGUGGCGAAAGCGGCGCGCUGGACCACUACUGACGCUGAGGAACGAAAGCUAGGGGAGCAAACAGGAUUAGAUACCCUAGUAGUCC
This 786-nucleotide ribosomal RNA is filed under the name uncultured bacterium. RNAcentral's name for it is "bacterial SSU rRNA". It matches the Rfam family "Bacterial small subunit ribosomal RNA", at positions 8 to 796 of the family's 1533-position model. The record is from RNAcentral.